UCGAGAAUUUUGGGCAAUGGACGAAAGUCUGACCCAGCAAUGCCGCGUGCGGGAUGAAGGUCUUCGGAUUGUAAACCGCUGUCGAGGGGGACGAAAUAUGACGGUACCCCUGGAGGAAGCCACGGCUAACUACGUGCCAGCAGCCGCGGUAAUACGUAGGUGGCGAGCGUUGUUCGGAUUUAUUGGGCGUAAAGGGUCCGCAGGGGGUUGAUUAAGUCUGACGUGAAAUCGCUGAGCUCAACUCAGAAAAUGCGUUGGAGACUGGUUGACUAGAGUGUUGGAGAGGUAAUUGGAAUUCCAGGUGUAGCGGUGGAAUGCGUAGAUAUCUGGAAGAACAUCGAAAGCGAAGGCAGAUUACUGGACAACAACUGACCCUCAGGGACGAAAGCAUGGGGAGCAAACA
This 403-nucleotide ribosomal RNA is filed under the name uncultured prokaryote. RNAcentral's name for it is "bacterial SSU rRNA". It matches the Rfam family "Bacterial small subunit ribosomal RNA", at positions 355 to 774 of the family's 1533-position model. The record is from RNAcentral.